GAAGGAGAAAGUCACAAAAAUGACAUUCAUUAAAGGGUAAAAUAUCCAUAAUACCCUUGGUUUAAAAUUAAAUAAGCAAACAAAAAUAAAUAAAAUAAAAAUAAAAAAAAUGAAAAAAAGAAAUUCUUUUUUAUAGUUUCAGAUUAUAUGUUUUCAGAUUCGAAAUUUUUAUAAUUUUUUUUUCAAAUUUUUUUUUAUUUUUUUUCAAAUUUUCUUUUUAUAAUUUAAAAAUAUUUUUUGAAACUGUUUUUAAAAUUUUUAUUUUAGAAUUUAUUUUUUAUAAAAUUUUAAACCCUAAUUCCAAAACCCCACCCCUUAACUCUAAACCCUAAGGUUUGGAUUAAUUAACCCAAGUGGUAUAAGUGUAUAUUACCUCUUUAAUGAAACCUAUUUUUGUGACUUUUAGCCUUGAGUGCUACUUUGGG
Molecule: long non-coding RNA, 425 nt
Filed under: Brassica rapa (field mustard)
Lineage: Eukaryota; Viridiplantae; Streptophyta; Magnoliopsida; Brassicales; Brassicaceae
Description: long non-coding RNA (BRAP_LNC007063)
Source: RNAcentral